RNAcentral lists this long non-coding RNA (398 nucleotides) under Elaeis guineensis (African oil palm). RNAcentral's name for it is "long non-coding RNA (EGUI_LNC042180)". The record is from RNAcentral. Lineage: Eukaryota; Viridiplantae; Streptophyta; Magnoliopsida; Arecales; Arecaceae.
GAAUCGGAAAUGGAGAGGCAGUAUGUUGUUUGCUAUUUUAUCUAUGUAAAAUAGAAGGAGAUGCUCCCGACAACGGUGGAUGAGAAAAAGGUGUAGGGGUGUCAAUCGUAGACACUCAUAAAAAUAGGAUUAUGCCAAUUGACAGCAUGGAUGACUGAUGUGCAUAUGCAUGUCUGAAUAUUAAUAUAGGAUCCGGAUGAGCAAGAUCAUGUAUCUCGCCAGAUCGUUCUUCUGCCAUAGACAUGUACAUAUUGAGCAGUAUAAUAUAAAAUAAUAAAUAUGAAAAGUAAUUAAAUAAAAUUUAACUCAUUCUAGAUAGCCAAACAUUGUAUGAGUACGAAUCGAUGAGUGAUAUGAUGGUAUCAUUAUAUAUAGGAUUUAUAAAAGUUCAUGGCACC